GAAAGUAAGAAAGGGCGUAUGGCGGAUGCCUAGGCUCACGGAGGCGAUGAAGGACGUGAUAAGCUGCGAUAAGCUUCGGGUAGGUGCAAAUAACCCUUGAUCCGGAGAUUUCCGAAUGGGACAACCUAGCCGUCUGAAGGACGGUUACUCAAUCUUCAAGGUUGAGAGCUAACGCAGGGAACUGAAACAUCUUAGUACCUGCAGGAAGAGAAAAUAAAUGAAUGAUUCCCCUAGUAGUGGCGAGCGAACGGGGAACAGCCCAAACCGUUGACGUCGCAAGGCGCCAGCGGGGUUGUAGGACCGCGACAUUGUAUGCAAAUCGUGAACAGAACACUUUGGAAAAUGUGACCAUAGACGGUGAUAGUCCAGUAUGUGAAGCGAAAUGCAGCAUAGCGGUAUCCUGAGUAACGCGGGACACGAGGAAUCCUGCGCGAAUCUGCCGGGACCAUCCGGUAAGGCUAAAUACUCCCGUGAGACCGAUAGCGAACGAGUACUGUGAAGGAAAGGUGAAAAGAACCCCGAGCAGGGGAGUGAAAUAGUUCCUGAAACCAUACGCCUACAAGCGGUCGGAGCAUCUUACGAUGUGACGGCGUGCCUUUUGCAUAAUGAUCCUACGAGUUACCGUCACUGGCGAGGUUGAGUGUCACGAGACACGUAGCCGCAGUGAAAGCGAGCCUGAACAGGGCGCAUAGUCAGUGGGGGUAGACGCGAAACCAAGUGAUCUACACUUGGCCAGGAUGAAGUCCCGGUAACACGGGAUGGAGGUCCGCACCAAUAAGCGUUGAAAAGCUUCUGGAUGAGCCGAGUGUAGGAGUGAAAGGCCAAUCAAACUUGGAGAUAGCUCGUACUCCCCGAAAGGCAUUUAGGUGCCGCGUCGGAUGGUCACCGUGAGAGGUAGAGCGACCGAUAGGACAAGAGGGCUUCACCGCCUAUCGAGUCCUGACGAACUCCGAAUGCUCACGGUCUGCAGUCCGGCAGUAAGGGGGCGGGUGCUAAGGUCCGUCCCCGAGAGGAGAAGAAUCCAGACCGCCGUCUAAGGUCCCGGAGUUCUGCCUGAGUUAGUCUAACGAAGUCUGGUCCCCGCGACAGCUAGGAUGUUGGCUUGGAAGCAGCCAUUCAUUUAAAGAGUGCGUAACAGCUCACUAGUCGAGGAGUCGGGCGUGGAUAAUAAUCGGGUAUUAAGUUGUCUACCGAAGCAGUGGGAUCAUUAAUAUGAUCGGUAGGGGAGCAUUCCAGUCGGCGUCGAAGGCGUACCGUGAGGUAUUCUGGAGCGUCUGGAAAAGCAAAUGUAGGUAUAAGUAACGAUAAAGGGGGCGGGAAACCCCCUCGCCGAAAGACUAAGGUUUCCUGAUCAACGCUAAUCGGAUCAGGGUCAGUCGGGUCCUAAGGCUCAGCCGAACGGCGAUGCCGAUGGCAGAAACGGUUAAUAUUCCGUUACUACCUUCAGGAGUGACGUGGAGACGCAGUAGUGACAGUGCCGCCAUCUGACGGAAUAGAUGGUUGAAGGGUGUAGGAGUCGAUCAUGGCAGGCAAAUCCACCAUGAGAUCCGAACCUGAUAGUAUGCCGCGUCCUUCGGGACAAGGCAAUAGUGCGCGUAAGCAUGCUGCCGAGAAAAUCCGCUAAACUUAAUCCUGCAGGUACCCGUACCGCAAACGGACACACGUAGUCGGGAUGAAUAUUCUAAGGCGCUUGAGUGAUUCACGGUUAAGGAACUAGGCAAACUGACCCUGUAACUUCGGGAAAAAGGGUCCCGUCUCGCAAGAGCGGGCGCAGAGAAUAGGUCCAGGCAACUGUUUAACAAAAACACAGGGCUGUGCGAAGUUUAAAGACGAAGUAUACAGCCUGACACCUGCCCGGUGCCGGAAGGUUAAGAGGAGACGUCAUCGCAAGAGAAGCGUUGAAUUGAAGCCCCGGUAAACGGCGGCCGUAACUAUAACGGUCCUAAGGUAGCGAAAUUCCUUGUCGGGUAAGUUCCGACCUGCACGAAUGG
Molecule: ribosomal RNA, 1991 nt
Filed under: human gut metagenome
Description: bacterial LSU rRNA
Rfam family: Bacterial large subunit ribosomal RNA
Source: RNAcentral